This 1310-nucleotide ribosomal RNA is filed under the name Klebsiella pneumoniae. RNAcentral describes it as "bacterial SSU rRNA". It matches the Rfam family "Bacterial small subunit ribosomal RNA", at positions 8 to 1310 of the family's 1533-position model. Lineage: Bacteria; Pseudomonadati; Pseudomonadota; Gammaproteobacteria; Enterobacterales; Enterobacteriaceae. The record is from RNAcentral.
AGAGUUUGAUCAUGGCUCAGAUUGAACGCUGGCGGCAGGCCUAACACAUGCAAGUCGAGCGGUAGCACAGAGAGCUUGCUCUCGGGUGACGAGCGGCGGACGGGUGAGUAAUGUCUGGGAAACUGCCUGAUGGAGGGGGAUAACUACUGGAAACGGUAGCUAAUACCGCAUAACGUCGCAAGACCAAAGUGGGGGACCUUCGGGCCUCAUGCCAUCAGAUGUGCCCAGAUGGGAUUAGCUAGUAGGUGGGGUAACGGCUCACCUAGGCGACGAUCCCUAGCUGGUCUGAGAGGAUGACCAGCCACACUGGAACUGAGACACGGUCCAGACUCCUACGGGAGGCAGCAGUGGGGAAUAUUGCACAAUGGGCGCAAGCCUGAUGCAGCCAUGCCGCGUGUGUGAAGAAGGCCUUCGGGUUGUAAAGCACUUUCAGCGGGGAGGAAGGCGAUAAGGUUAAUAACCUUGUCGAUUGACGUUACCCGCAGAAGAAGCACCGGCUAACUCCGUGCCAGCAGCCGCGGUAAUACGGAGGGUGCAAGCGUUAAUCGGAAUUACUGGGCGUAAAGCGCACGCAGGCGGUCUGUCAAGUCGGAUGUGAAAUCCCCGGGCUCAACCUGGGAACUGCAUUCGAAACUGGCAGGCUAGAGUCUUGUAGAGGGGGGUAGAAUUCCAGGUGUAGCGGUGAAAUGCGUAGAGAUCUGGAGGAAUACCGGUGGCGAAGGCGGCCCCCUGGACAAAGACUGACGCUCAGGUGCGAAAGCGUGGGGAGCAAACAGGAUUAGAUACCCUGGUAGUCCACGCCGUAAACGAUGUCGAUUUGGAGGUUGUGCCCUUGAGGCGUGGCUUCCGGAGCUAACGCGUUAAAUCGACCGCCUGGGGAGUACGGCCGCAAGGUUAAAACUCAAAUGAAUUGACGGGGGCCCGCACAAGCGGUGGAGCAUGUGGUUUAAUUCGAUGCAACGCGAAGAACCUUACCUGGUCUUGACAUCCACAGAACUUAGCAGAGAUGCUUUGGUGCCUUCGGGAACUGUGAGACAGGUGCUGCAUGGCUGUCGUCAGCUCGUGUUGUGAAAUGUUGGGUUAAGUCCCGCAACGAGCGCAACCCUUAUCCUUUGUUGCCAGCGGUCCGGCCGGGAACUCAAAGGAGACUGCCAGUGAUAAACUGGAGGAAGGUGGGGAUGACGUCAAGUCAUCAUGGCCCUUACGACCAGGGCUACACACGUGCUACAAUGGCAUAUACAAAGAGAAGCGACCUCGCGAGAGCAAGCGGACCUCAUAAAGUAUGUCGUAGUCCGGAUUGGAGUCUGCAA